RNAcentral lists this ribosomal RNA (396 nucleotides) under uncultured bacterium. RNAcentral's name for it is "partial 16S ribosomal RNA". It matches the Rfam family "Bacterial small subunit ribosomal RNA", at positions 523 to 918 of the family's 1533-position model. The record is from RNAcentral.
AUACGUAGGGGGCGAGCGUUGUCCGGAAUUACUGGGUGUAAAGGGUGCGUAGGCGGGACUGCAAGUCAGAUGUGAAAUGCCGGGGCUCAACCCCGGAGCUGCAUUUGAAACUGUGGUUCUUGAGUGAGGUAGAGGUAAGCGGAAUUCCUAGUGUAGCGGUGAAAUGCGUAGAUAUUAGGAGGAACAUCGGUGGCGAAGGCGGCUUACUGGGCCUUUACUGACGCUGAGGCACGAAAGCGUGGGGAGCAAACAGGAUUAGAUACCCUGGUAGUCCACGCUGUAAACGAUGAUGACUAGGUGUGGGGGGACUGAACCCUUCCGUGCCGCAGUUAACACAAUAAGUCAUCCACCUGGGGAGUACGGCCGCAAGGUUGAAACUUAAAGGAAUUGACGGGG